GACGAACGCUGGCGGCGUGCUUAACACAUGCAAGUCGAACGGAAAGGCCCUGCUUUUGUGGGGUGCUCGAGUGGCGAACGGGUGAGUAACACGUGAGUAACCUGCCCUUGACUUUGGGAUAACUUCAGGAAGCUGGGGCUAAUACCGGAUAGGAGCUCCUGCUGCAUGGUGGGGGUUGGAAAGUUUCGGCGGUUGGGGAUGGACUCGCGGCUUAUCAGCUUGUUGGUGGGGUAGUGGCUUACCAAGGCUUUGACGGGUAGCCGGCCUGAGAGGGUGACCGGCCACAAUGGGACUGAGAUACGGCCCAGACGCCUACGGGAGGCAGCAGUGGGGAAUAUUGCACAAUGGGCGGAAGCCUGAGGCAGCAACGCCGCGUGCGGGAUGACGGCCUUCGGGUUGUAAACCGCUUUCGCCUGUGACGAAGCGUGAGUGACGGUAAUGGGUAAAGAAGCACCGGCUAACUACGUG
This 468-nucleotide ribosomal RNA is filed under the name uncultured bacterium. Its description in RNAcentral is "partial 16S ribosomal RNA". It matches the Rfam family "Bacterial small subunit ribosomal RNA", at positions 28 to 507 of the family's 1533-position model. The record is from RNAcentral.